Molecule: long non-coding RNA, 203 nt
Filed under: Mytilus galloprovincialis (Mediterranean mussel)
Lineage: Eukaryota; Metazoa; Mollusca; Bivalvia; Mytilida; Mytilidae
Source: RNAcentral
GGUUUGGUGAUGGUGAUGUGUUUGUAGAUCUUACUUUACUGAACAUUCUUGCUGCAUACAAUUAUCUCUAUCUAUAAUGAACUUGACCCAGUAGUUACAGUGGAAAAUGUUAGUAAAAUUUUACAAAUUUUUGUGAAAAUUGUUAAAAAAAAAAAUGACUAUAUAAAGGGCAAUAACUCCUUAGGGGUCAAUUGACCAUUUUG